CAUUAGAUGACUGAAAGCAAGUGUAAGUCUUUUAAACUUACAAUAGUAGUCACGCCUACUUCUAAUGA
This 68-nucleotide transfer RNA is filed under the name Macrobrachium equidens. RNAcentral describes it as "tRNA-Lys". RNAcentral also lists the same sequence under 1 other name. Lineage: Eukaryota; Metazoa; Arthropoda; Malacostraca; Decapoda; Palaemonidae. The record is from RNAcentral.